UGAGGCAGGAGAAUUGCUUGAACUUGGGAGGUGGAGGUUGCAGUGAGCCGAGAUUGUGCCACUGCACUCCAGCCUGGGUGACAAAGCAAGACUCUGUCUUGGA
Molecule: microRNA precursor, 103 nt
Organism: Chlorocebus sabaeus (green monkey)
Lineage: Eukaryota; Metazoa; Chordata; Mammalia; Primates; Cercopithecidae
Source: Ensembl